ACGGAAGGCAGCAGUGGGGAAUAUUGGGCAAUGGGGGAAACCCUGACCCAGCAACGCCGCGUGAAGGAAGAAGGCUUUCGGGUUGUAAACUUCUUUUAAGAGGGACGAACACAAUGACGGUACCUCUUGAAUAAGCCACGGCUAACUACGUGCCAGCAGCCGCGGUAAUACGUAGGUGGCGAGCGUUAUCCGGAUUUACUGGGUGUAAAGGGCGCGUAGGCGGAGCGGCAAGUCAGAUGUGAAAUCCAUGGGCUUAACCCAUGAACUGCAUUUGAAACUGUCGCCCUUGAGUGUCGGAGAGGUAGACGGAAUUCCUAGUGUAGCGGUGAAAUGCGUAGAUAUUAGGAGGAACACCAGUGGCGAAGGCGGUCUACUGGACGAUAACUGACGCUGAGGCGCGAAAGCGUGGGGAGCAAACAGGAUUAGAUACCCUGGUA
Molecule: ribosomal RNA, 437 nt
Filed under: uncultured Clostridium sp.
Lineage: Bacteria; Bacillati; Bacillota; Clostridia; Eubacteriales; Clostridiaceae
Description: partial 16S ribosomal RNA
Rfam family: Bacterial small subunit ribosomal RNA
Source: RNAcentral